AACGGGGGGAACAAGCGUUAUUCAGUCAGGAUUGGGCGUAAAGGACCGGUAGACGGCGGGGAAUAAGUUUGGGAGUAAAAAAGCUUUUGGCUUAACCAUUUGCAGCUCCUUAGCAAAAUCUUCUAUGGCCGUAUAGAAGUAAUUACUCCUCUUGCUCGAGUUUUUGGAGAGGUUGGUGGUACUCUUGUAGGAAAGGGUAGAAUUUAUUGAUAACAAAGGGGACCAGCAGUAGGCGAAGGCAACCAACCAUCUUAAACUGACGUUGAGCGAUGAAAAGUGUGGGGGGAGCAAACAGG
RNAcentral lists this ribosomal RNA (296 nucleotides) under uncultured bacterium. Its description in RNAcentral is "partial 16S ribosomal RNA". It matches the Rfam family "Bacterial small subunit ribosomal RNA", at positions 524 to 776 of the family's 1533-position model. The record is from RNAcentral.